Molecule: ribosomal RNA, 253 nt
Filed under: uncultured bacterium
Lineage: Bacteria
Description: partial 16S ribosomal RNA
Rfam family: Bacterial small subunit ribosomal RNA
Source: RNAcentral
UACGUAGGGUGCAAGCGUUACUCGGAAUUAUUGGGCGUAAAGCGCGCGCAGGCGGUCCUUUAAGUCUGAUGUGAAAGCCCACGGCUCAACCGUGGAGGGUCAUUGGAAACUGGGGGACUUGAGUACAGAAGAGAAGAGUGGAAUUCCACGUGUAGCGGUGAAAUGCGUAGAGAUGUGGAGGAACACCAGUGGCGAAGGCGACUCUUUGGUCUGUAACUGACGCUGAGGCGCGAAAGCGUGGGGAGCAAACAGG